AAAACAUUACGUGAUAAAUUGCGGGGCGAUUUACAUCAGGACGACCGACGACGGCGCUUUGUCGUGGAAAUGAUAACAAUAUGCGUUUUAUACGCCGUCGCCGGAACCAUCAACGCCGUCUCUUAGAAAAUAAGCACCUCUCAUACACGUUUAUUUUAUUUUUACGCCUCUCUGCCGUUGUUGUUACUAUUAUUUCGAAAGAUAUUGCGGACGGCCGGGAAACGAUGCACGGUAUACGUCACGGCAGUGGCGUGUCAAAGUAGGUUUAUUUGAGACAAUCGCCUCAUGGCUAAAAUGGGCCGGUGGAUGGGUGACCGGCAAAUUUGAUGAAUGUUGAAAACGAUUAACCAGUUCAGAGACCGGGGAUGCCGUUAGUUUUCGUGUAUUGUAUUAUUAACGUACAUACACACGGGCAUUAUUAUAGUAUAUAUUAUGCAGUCGAUUCAGCUAAAGAAGAUUUUCGUUGUAAAACAAAUUAUUUACAGGACACAUAAAAUGUCCAUGUUUAGUGAGCGAGCGGGUCCUGAUUAUUUUGUUUUGUCUCAAAAUCGAAAAUUGUUGAGAAGUCUCUCUCGUCUAACGGCUCUAACUGAUUACGUACACACAAAAAAAAAAUUAUUUAUUUUAAAUACAACAGUACGCAUUAUAAAAGGAAAAUAAUUUGCGUGUUAUUCGUAGUGUUUUUAUUUUAUACGUUAGAACCGUCGGGAGACUU
Molecule: non-coding RNA, 715 nt
Organism: Cinara cedri
Lineage: Eukaryota; Metazoa; Arthropoda; Insecta; Hemiptera; Aphididae
Source: the annotation of a GenBank genome assembly